This 343-nucleotide ribosomal RNA is filed under the name Pectobacterium carotovorum. RNAcentral's name for it is "bacterial SSU rRNA". It matches the Rfam family "Bacterial small subunit ribosomal RNA", at positions 1159 to 1505 of the family's 1533-position model. Lineage: Bacteria; Pseudomonadati; Pseudomonadota; Gammaproteobacteria; Enterobacterales; Pectobacteriaceae. The record is from RNAcentral.
UCAACUGGAGGAAGGUGGGGAUGACGUCAAGUCAUCAUGGCCCUUACGAGUAGGGCUACACACGUGCUACAAUGGCGCAUACAAAGAGAAGCGACCUCGCGAGAGCAAGCGGACCUCAUAAAGUGCGUCGUAGUCCGGAUUGGAGUCUGCAACUCGACUCCAUGAAGUCGGAAUCGCUAGUAAUCGUAGAUCAGAAUGCUACGGUGAAUACGUUCCCGGGCCUUGUACACACCGCCCGUCACACCAUGGGAGUGGGUUGCAAAAGAAGUAGGUAGCUUAACCUUCGGGAGGGCGCUUACCACUUUGUGAUCAUGACUGGGGGAAGUCGCCUCAGAAGCCGCUG